AUUGAACGCUGGCGGCAGGCUUAACACAUGCAAGUCGAACGAGCGAGAGAGAGCUUGCUUUCUCAAGCGAGUGGCGAACGGGUGAGUAACGCGUGAGGAACCUGCCUCAAAGAGGGGGACAACAGUUGGAAACGACUGCUAAUACCGCAUAAGCCCACGACCCGGCAUCGGGUUGAGGGAAAAGGAGCAAUCCGCUUUGAGAUGGCCUCGCGUCCGAUUAGCUGGUUGGUGAGGUAACGGCCCACCAAGGCGACGAUCGGUAGCCGGACUGAGAGGUUGAACGGCCACAUUGGGACUGAGACACGGCCCAG
RNAcentral lists this ribosomal RNA (311 nucleotides) under uncultured bacterium. RNAcentral describes it as "bacterial SSU rRNA". It matches the Rfam family "Bacterial small subunit ribosomal RNA", at positions 30 to 334 of the family's 1533-position model. The record is from RNAcentral.